GCAAGUCGAACGGUGACACGGAGCUUGCUCUGUGGGAUCAGUGGCGAACGGGUGAGUAACACGUGAGCAACCUGCCCCUGACUCUGGGAUAAGCGCUGGAAACGGCGUCUAAUACUGGAUAUGUGACGUGACCGCAUGGUCUGCGUCUGGAAAGAAUUUCGGUUGGGGAUGGGCUCGCGGCCUAUCAGCUUGUUGGUGAGGUAAUGGCUCACCAAGGCGUCGACGGGUAGCCGGCCUGAGAGGGUGACCGGCCACACUGGGACUGAGACACGGCCCAGACUCCUACGGGAGGCAGCAGUGGGGAAUAUUGCACAAUGGGCGCAAGCCUGAUGCAGCAACGCCGCGUGAGGGAUGACGGCCUUCGGGUUGUAAACCUCUUUUAGCAGGGAAGAAGCGAAAGUGACGGUACCUGCAGAAAAAGCGCCGGCUAACUACGUGCCAGCAGCCGCGGUAAUACGUAGGGCGCAAGCGUUAUCCGGAAUUAUUGGGCGUAAAGAGCUCGUAGGCGGUUUGUCGCGUCUGCUGUGAAAUCCGGAGGCUCAACCUCCGGCCUGCAGUGGGUACGGGCAGACUAGAGUGCGGUAGGGGAGAUUGGAAUUCCUGGUGUAGCGGUGGAAUGCGCAGAUAUCAGGAGGAACACCGAUGGCGAAGGCAGAUCUCUGGGCCGUAACUGACGCUGAGGAGCGAAAGGGUGGGGAGCAAACAGGCUUAGAUACCCUGGUAGUCCACCCCGUAAACGUUGGGAACUAGUUGUGGGGUCCAUUCCACGGAUUCCGUGACGCAGCUAACGCAUUAAGUUCCCCGCCUGGGGAGUACGGCCGCAAGGCUAAAACUCAAAGGAAUUGACGGGGACCCGCACAAGCGGCGGAGCAUGCGGAUUAAUUCGAUGCAACGCGAAGAACCUU
Molecule: ribosomal RNA, 905 nt
Filed under: Microbacterium sp. 42(2013)
Lineage: Bacteria; Bacillati; Actinomycetota; Actinomycetes; Micrococcales; Microbacteriaceae
Description: bacterial SSU rRNA
Rfam family: Bacterial small subunit ribosomal RNA
Source: RNAcentral